AUUGAACGCUGGUGGCAGGCUUAACACAUGCAAGUCGAACGGUAACAGGAAUUAGCUUGCUAAUUUGCUGACGAGUGGCGGACGGGUGAGUAAUGCUUGGGAAUCUGGCUUAUGGAGGGGGAUAACUACGGGAAACUGUAGCUAAUACCGCGUAAAAUCUUCGGAUUAAAGGGUGGGACUUUCGAGCCACCUGCCAUAAGAUGAGCCCAAGUGGGAUUAGGUAGUUGGUUAGGUAAAGGCUGACCAAGCCGACGAUCUCUAGCUGGUCUGAGAGGAUGACCAGCCACACUGGAACUGAGACACGGUCCAGACUCCUACGGGAGGCAGCAGUGGGGAAUAUUGCACAAAGGGGGGAACCCUGAUGCAGCCAUGCCGCGUGAAUGAAGAAGGCCUUCGGGUUGUAAAGUUCUUUCGGUGACGAGGAAGGUUGAUAGGUUAAUAGCCUAUCAAAUUGACGUUAAUCACAGAAGAAGCACCGGCUAACUCCGUG
This 490-nucleotide ribosomal RNA is filed under the name uncultured bacterium. Its description in RNAcentral is "partial 16S ribosomal RNA". It matches the Rfam family "Bacterial small subunit ribosomal RNA", at positions 30 to 507 of the family's 1533-position model. The record is from RNAcentral.